UUUGGUGCUGCGAAGAGAGUUGCUGAAUUGGUUGGGAAGAGGCCUUAUUUUAGCACUGAGGAGCAUGAUGUGUGUCAGAUUCUAAAUUUUGCAGAAGAAGAAGGGUGGUGAAUUGAUCAAUGAUUCAAGGUUUUAUACAUCACUGAUUAGAAUGAUGAUUGUUGGGUUCUAAAUUUUGUAGAAGAAGAAUGAGAAUGGAUUAAUCAAUGAUCCAAGGUUCUAAAUUGCAAUCGCAUAUUCAGAUUAUUGUGAGCCAGUUAGCUAUCGGCUCACAAGAGUUGUGGUAUAAUAUGGAAUGGUAAUGAUUUUCUUUGGUUUGGUAUUUUUUUUACCUGGUAUAGACAGAACUUCCUAAGUUCUGAUUGAAUUUUGCGAGCUGAACCACGAGGUGAAAGUGCUUUGGUUGGUUUGUAGUUGCUCUUUUAUAUGUUGCUAAAUAAUGAGUAAACAUGUAUGGUUCUUUCAAGCUGUAUAUCAUGUUAUUAUAUUCCUAGUCAUUUGAUAUGGUUGGAUGAGUGUGCAUAGUCUGUUUGAUUUCUCUGUAGAGGGUGUUUCUUCUUUCUUAGAAGAUUUUUUUGGGUUUUUUUAAACUUUGUGUAGUUUGUCUUCUAUUCCGUUUUUGAAGGCUAGAUCAAAUGGCAGAAGGAAAAUUUGUGUUUUGAUUAGGAUGCGAAAGAAAAGCAGUCAAUCAUGUUAAAUUUACCAUGUUUCAUGUUUUAUGUUUAGGAGGUGUAAAGGCAUCUCUUUCGGCACAAAAAUGUCCUUUAGACAAUAUAAGAUGGAGACCUGUGUGUGCUAAUUACAAACUGUGUCAGUUUCCAUUAAGAAAGCAAUUUUGCUGAUAUUAUUACAAACUGGUUGUUGAAUGUUGCAGGAUACAUUACUACUAACUAAUGGUGAGCUAGACACAAUUGUUGAAGCUUUGAGCACAACAAGUUCUCACAUUCAGUAAGUGGUUGGAAUUUUGUCAAUCCAUUACCCUUUUGCUAUUUGAACUAAUUUUU
RNAcentral lists this long non-coding RNA (1004 nucleotides) under Phaseolus vulgaris (common bean). RNAcentral describes it as "long non-coding RNA (PVUL_LNC001490)". Lineage: Eukaryota; Viridiplantae; Streptophyta; Magnoliopsida; Fabales; Fabaceae. The record is from RNAcentral.